RNAcentral lists this transfer RNA (74 nucleotides) under Candidatus Carbonibacillus altaicus. Its description in RNAcentral is "tRNA-Trp". It matches the Rfam family "tRNA". Rfam says of the family: Transfer RNA (tRNA) molecules are approximately 80 nucleotides in length. Their secondary structure includes four short double-helical elements and three loops (D, anti-codon, and T loops). The record is from RNAcentral. Lineage: Bacteria; Bacillati; Bacillota; Bacilli; Thermicanales; Thermicanaceae. RNAcentral also lists the same sequence under 1 other name.
AGGGGCGUAGUUCAAUGGUAGAACGGCGGUCUCCAAAACCGCUAGUGUGGGUUCGAUUCCUACCGCCCCUGCCA